Molecule: ribosomal RNA, 546 nt
Filed under: Sundasciurus brookei (Brooke's squirrel)
Lineage: Eukaryota; Metazoa; Chordata; Mammalia; Rodentia; Sciuridae
Description: partial 16S ribosomal RNA
Rfam family: Bacterial large subunit ribosomal RNA
Source: RNAcentral
CUUCUAGCAUUUACAGUAUUAGAGGCACUGCCUGCCCAGUGACAUAUGUUUAACGGCCGCGGUAUCCUGACCGUGCAAAGGUAGCAUAAUCAUUUGUUCCUUAAAUAGGGACUUGCAUGAAUGGCCAAACGAGGGUUUAUCUGUCUCUUACUUUUAAUCAGUGAAAUUGACCUUCCCGUGAAGAGGCGGGAAUAAACAAAUAAGACGAGAAGACCCUAUGGAGCUUAAAUUUAUUAGUCCAAAUAUACUGACAUUAAAUCUACAAGAAAUAAAAUCAUUAUUCAUGGACUAAAAAUUUUGGUUGGGGUGACCUCGGAGCAUAACUCAACCUCCGAAUGAUCUUAAUCUAGACUCUUAACCCGUCCAAAUUCCAAUUCAUAAAUUGACCCAAACCAUUGAUCAACGGAACAAGUUACCCUAGGGAUAACAGCGCAAUCCUACUCAAGAGUCCAUAUCGACAGUUAGGGUUUACGACCUCGAUGUUGGAUCAGGACAUCCAAAUGGUGCAGCAGCUAUUAAUGGUUCGUUUGUUCAACGAUUAAAGUC